RNAcentral lists this ribosomal RNA (429 nucleotides) under Pseudomonadota bacterium. RNAcentral's name for it is "Proteobacteria bacterium partial 16S ribosomal RNA". It matches the Rfam family "Bacterial small subunit ribosomal RNA", at positions 355 to 776 of the family's 1533-position model. The record is from RNAcentral. Lineage: Bacteria; Pseudomonadati; Pseudomonadota.
UGGGGAAUAUUGGACAAUGGGCGAAAGCCUGAUCCAGCCAUGCCGCGUGUGUGAAGAAGGUCUUCGGAUUGUAAAGCACUUUAAGUUGGGAGGAAGGGCAGUAAGCGAAUACCUUGCUGUUUUGACGUUACCGACAGAAUAAGCACCGGCUAACUCUGUGCCAGCAGCCGCGGUAAUACAGAGGGUGCAAGCGUUAAUCGGAAUUACUGGGCGUAAAGCGCGCGUAGGUGGUUCGUUAAGUUGAAUGUGAAAGCCCCGGGCUCAACCUGGGAACUGCAUCCAAAACUGGCGAGCUAGAGUAGGGCAGGGGGUGGUGGAAUUUCCUGUGUAGCGGUGAAAUGCGUAGGUAUAGGAAGGAACACCAGUGGCGAAGGCGACCACCUGGGCUCAUACUGACACUGAGGUGCGAAAGCGUGGGGAGCAAACAGG